This 53-nucleotide transfer RNA is filed under the name Scarelus sp. UPOL 000L15. RNAcentral's name for it is "partial tRNA-Ser". Lineage: Eukaryota; Metazoa; Arthropoda; Insecta; Coleoptera; Lycidae. The record is from RNAcentral.
AAAGAAAUAAUAUAAGAAGCUUCUAACUUCUAACAGAGCAAAUAUUUGUUCAU